RNAcentral lists this ribosomal RNA (497 nucleotides) under uncultured bacterium. Its description in RNAcentral is "partial 16S ribosomal RNA". It matches the Rfam family "Bacterial small subunit ribosomal RNA", at positions 28 to 507 of the family's 1533-position model. The record is from RNAcentral.
GAUGAACGCUGGCGGCGUGCCUAAUACAUGCAAGUCGAGCGAACAGAUGAGGAGCUUGCUCCUCUGACGUUAGCGGCGGACGGGUGAGUAACACGUGGAUGACCUACCUAUAAGACUGGGAUAACUUCGGGAAACCGGAGAUAAUACCGGAUAAUAUAUUGAACCGCAUGGUUCAAUAGUGAAAGACGGUUUUGCUGUCACUUAUAGAUGGAUCCGCGCCGCAUUAGCUAGUUGGUAAGGUAACGGCUUACCAAGGCAACGAUGCGUAGCCGACCUGAGAGGGUGACCGGCCACACUGGAACUGAGACACGGUCCAGACUCCUACGGGAGGCAGCAGUAGGGAAUCUUCCGCAAUGGGCGAAAGCCUGACGGAGCCACGCCGCGUGAGUGAUGAAGGUCUUCGGAUCGUAAAACUCUGUUAUUAGGGAAGAACAAAUGUGUAAGUAACUAUGCACGUCUUGACGGUACCUAAUCAGAAAGCAACGGCUAACUACGUG